GGGCUGCAAAAAACAAUUUCAAAAUCAAAGCUUUCAAUAUCCAGUUUUGAACUAAACGCUUACUUGCAGAACUGCCACCGAACUGGUCUCGUCUCGACGUGCAAAGCGGCUUGAACAUCCUGGCGGUUGAGAUAAGGUGUCACAGAAUCAAGGCAAGCCUCGUCAUCUGGUCCUGAAAGUAAGUUGCAUGCUGGUGCAUAGAUGUUGUAAGGAGUAAUGUAGGCAAUCAGGUUCCGGAUCUGGGAGGUAGCAUUUCUACAUCUCGCUAUUGAUUCGUCAUCAUUCCUCCUACAGUAGGUCUUCUCUUCUUGGCAAAGCUCCUCAGAAAUGAUUGAAUGCGAGUACAAGUUCUCAAUGUUACCAGGACCGUCAUAGUCGACGUCCGUGGAAGGAUUACCAAUCUGAAUGUAUAAAAAUUAGCUUCUUUCAAUGUAGUGUAGUGUAAGAGUGAACGUACAGCAAACCCCUUCAGGUUGAUACGAUUUCCAUUUUGCUCAUUAUGUGAAAUGAUUUGCGAUGCCAACGUUGGUAUGUAAUGUCCUUCAGGGAAUCAAGUGUUACGUACUGUGCAAACCUCAAGUAUGCAUACCUGCAAAGCUUUCUCCAGCAACGAAGAAGUCAUUCUGUUUAUACUCAGGGAACUUUGUGAGAAAUUCGAGCAGAAACAGCAAAGUAUCGCUGGCUGCAUCCCAAACACGUUUUAUGAGAAGUUGAGAACCACAAGCAAGUGGUAUAGUACCUGUUUGAUUGUCUGUGUAAUUUCCCCCAUCAGAAAGCAAGUUUGUAUAUGAGAAACCGGUAUUAUAAGGGAUCUCCAAACAGAUGAGAUUCACAGCUGCACAUGAAAUCGGAUCAAGCAGAUGAAACUCCUAGGAUCUAGGAGAAAGAAAAAACCUUUAUUCCAAGAGUAUGGAUUGCGAACGAGCCCAGUGCCUGAGUUAUUUGUGCUGAAUGGACCAGUCUCUCCAAGAGCUCCAGCGCCAAUGGAUGAACAUCCCGGUCCUGCAGAAACGUACAAAUAUUACAAAUGCUGCGUAUCAUCAAAGAAGCACCUCCGGUGAGCCAUAAUACCAACGGCAAGGAAGACGCAUUUGGGUGAUCUGCUUCGAAGAACCAGUAGAACAGUGCACGUCCAGCUGUGGCGUUUAUCUCAAUUUGACCUGCGUACUGCUUAAAUCCAACUUCUGGUUGCCCAGGAAGCCCUUGCACAAGGUGCGAAGGGUCUGCAGCCAAUGCCAAUGCAACCUGGAGGAGCACAAGAAGAAGAUGAAUCCAUGUCCUCAUAGCUCUCACGAGUGGAUGAAGCUUAACUCUUCAUUGUCACGUUUGCGCAAUCCUUAUAGUCAACAAACCGUGUUGGAUCAAACUCUUCUUGCCACCUGUCGUCUGGAGCCGAAUUCAAAACAUGUUUCAAAUUUGGAGACUUCCGCAACCCAAAUCCUGAAAGGUUGCCGCUUCUGAGUCUGUGGAAUCCAACGCUUAGCUACAAACUUCAAGGCUACUUACACAGUAAAUUAAGUUUGGGGACCUGUUCUUCUGACGUGCUUUCAUCCUCGAAGAAAUGCCUUGUUCAUGCUGACAAGGAAUCCCCAUCUUGACAAGCGAUGUAAUCUGAGCUGAGUGCAUUCCGAUAACGAUAUUCUCACCAAUUCUGCAUCCUUGCCCGCGGCUGUGGCAAACAAUGUGGACAGAAACAAUUCAGAAAACCUACUCGCUCACAGCAAAUGGACGCUCUUACGGCUGGAAGCUGCCAGAUGAAGGCGGCGCCGGCUGUGUCAAAACUGCGAAGAGUACUAUCUGAUGAUUGAGAGAAACAAAGGCGCUAGGGUAACAUUAUGCAAUAAGCAAAUAAGCAAGGCUGCAAGAGCAAUUACAAGUACACAUCAACACUCUAAAAUAAUUUUAAAAGCACGAGUGCAUGCACUCAAAGAUCUUGAAGUCACAGAUCUUCAUUGUUGUAUUGAUAAAUAUUGUUCAUUGCAGAUGUCAUCAAUCAUCAUAGCCUGAAAAUCAGUAUAUACAAAGCCAAUUAUAUUUGGGGACAGGUUUGGGGACCUGUUCUUCUGACGUGCUUUCAUCCUUGAAGAAAUGCCUUGUUCAUGCUAACAAGGAAUCCCCAUCUUGACAAGCGAUGUACUCUGAGGUUUAUAAUCAAAGCCAAUUAUAUUUGGGGACAGGUUUGGGGACCUUUAAUUACUUUAAAGUAAUUAAACAAUCACUUAUUAGGAACAGUUGCAUCUCUGGUUAAUAGAGAGAUUUAUGCAACUUCUUGGUCACACCUGACAUUUGAUUUACAACAUUUGCACGACCAUAAAAGGAUUCAACUAAUUUGAUGAAGAUAGAAUCACUCAUAACAUGGUGGAUAGCAUCUGGAGAUCACAAGUAGUUGCAAAUUCACUAGAAGAUCAUUAUUAGAAAGCCUCAGCUUCCCACCAUCCCAAUGCGAGUCCACCAGCAGAUGCCAAGAGCCAGCACCUCAUUGUGCUUAAUCUGGAUAGUACAUGUUUAAGUAACAUAAGCUACAACAAGAGAUAAAAUUUCAAAUGUACUAAACAAAUGUUGAGUUUUAUUUCUUGACAAUCCCUUGUUACAGCUAAAACGACGGCAGUGCCUUGCCUUCGAUAAAGUGUUGGAACAAGGUAAGUGCCUGGCCAGGUUUGUCAACUGGAGGCUGAUGUCCAGAGCCUCUUACUGUCGCAAAUGUCAUUUCUGAGUACACUUCAGUCCAUCCACCAACCUGCAGUUUAAAAGAGUUAACUAGUAUACCCCCGUUCAACAAGAUUUAGUUGAUGCUUACCUGAUUUGUGUAGUUCCACGCAUACCAUGGAGUAACAAUAGUGAGAUUGAGUGCUUUGAUCCAGCUCCUGGUUGAAAGCGUCGAAACAAUAGAAUCCAAGUCCCCACUAUGAAUGACAUGUGUUAAAAGUGCUUCAGAUUGUUGUCUUGUAAUGUAAUUCACAAACCUGUAAAUCCAGAUUCUCAAGUCACUCUUGAACAAACUCUGGUAUACGGGAAGCAUUGAACGCUGUUUAUCGAGUGGCAAGUAGCUCCUGUCAAUAUCCGGGCUGCCAAAAACAAUAUCAAAAUCAGCUUUCAGUAUCCAGUCUUGGAUUAAACGCCUACUUGCAUAAACGCCACCGAACUGGUCUUGUCUCGACGUGCAAGGCGGCCUGAACAUCCUGGCGAUUGAGGUAAGGUGUCACAGAAUCAAGGCAAGCCUCAUCAUCCGGUCCUGAAAGUAAGUUGCAUGUUGGUGCAUAGAUGUUGUAACGAUCAAUGUAGCCAGUCAAAUCAAAGAUCUGGGAGCUAGCAUUUCCACAUCUGGCUAAUGCUUCGUCAUCGUUCCUCCCCCUCCCACAGUAGGUCUUAUAUUCUUGGUAAAGCUCCUCAGAAAUGACUAGAACCAGU
This 3408-nucleotide long non-coding RNA is filed under the name Selaginella moellendorffii. RNAcentral describes it as "long non-coding RNA (SMOE_LNC000247)". Lineage: Eukaryota; Viridiplantae; Streptophyta; Lycopodiopsida; Selaginellales; Selaginellaceae. The record is from RNAcentral.